GCGAGGCCUUUUGGUUGUAAAGCACUUUAAGCGAAGGAGGAGACUACUUAGAUUAAUACUCUAGGAUAGUGGACGUUACUCGCAGAAUAAGCACCGGCUAACUCUGUGCCAGCAGCCGCGGUAAUACAGAGGGUGCGAGCGUUAAUCGGAUUUACUGGGCGUAAAGCGUGCGUAGGCGGCUUUUUAAGUCGGAUGUGAAAUCCGUGAGCUUAACUUAGGAAUUGCAUUCGAUACUGGGAAGCUAGAGUAUGGGAGAGGAUGGUAGAAUUCCAGGUGUAGCGGUGAAAUGCGUAGAGAUCUGGAGGAAUACCGAUGGCGAAGGCAGCCAUCUGGCCUAAUACUGACGCUGAGGUACGAAAGCAUGGGGAGCAAACAGGAUUAGAUACCCUGGUAGUCCAUGCCGUAAACGAUGUCUACUAGCCGUUGGGGCCUUUGAGGCUUUAGUGGCGCAGCUAACGCGAUAAGUAGACCGCCUGGGGAGUACGGUCGCAAGACUAAAACUCAAAUGAAUUGACGGGGGCCCGCACAAGCGGUGGAGCAUGUGGUUUAAUUCGAUGCAACGCGAAGAACCUUACCUGGUCUUGACAUAGUAAGAACUUUCCAGAGAUGGAUUGGUGCCUUCGGGAACUUACAUACAGGUGCUGCAUGGCUGUCGUCAGCUCGUGUCGUGAGAUGUUGGGUUAAGUCCCGCAACGAGCGCAACCCUUUUCCUUAUUUGCCAGCGGGUUAAGCCGGGAACUUUAAGGAUACUGCCAGUGACAAACUGGAGGAAGGCGGGGACGACGUCAAGUCAUCAUGGCCCUUACGACCAGGGCUACACACGUGCUACAAUGGUCGGUACAAAGGGUUGCUACCUAGCGAUAGGAUGCUAAUCUCAAAAAGCCGAUCGUAGUCCGGAUUGGAGUCUGCAACUCGACUCCAUGAAGUCGGAAUCGCUAGUAAUCGCGGAUCAGAAUGCCGCGGUGAAUACGUUCCCGGGCCUUGUACACACCGCCCGUCACACCAUGGGAAUUUGUUGCACCAGAAGUAGGUAGUCUAACCGCAAGGAGGACGCUACCAUCGGUUCCCGUGU
RNAcentral lists this ribosomal RNA (1072 nucleotides) under Acinetobacter sp. 5-31(2010). RNAcentral describes it as "bacterial SSU rRNA". It matches the Rfam family "Bacterial small subunit ribosomal RNA", at positions 405 to 1472 of the family's 1533-position model. The record is from RNAcentral. Lineage: Bacteria; Pseudomonadati; Pseudomonadota; Gammaproteobacteria; Moraxellales; Moraxellaceae.